CCUGGCUCAGAACGAACGCUGGCGGCAGGCCUAACACAUGCAAGUCGAGCGAGGACUUCGGUUCUAGCGGCGGACGGGUGAGUAACGCGUGGGAAUGUGCCCUUCUCUACGGAAUAGCCCUGGGAAACUGGGAGUAAUACCGUAUACGCCCUAUUGGGGAAAGAUUUAUCGGAGAAGGAUCAGCCCGCGUUGGAUUAGGUAGUUGGUGGGGUAAUGGCCUACCAAGCCGACGAUCCAUAGCUGGUUUGAGAGGAUGAUCAGCCACACUGGGACUGAGACACGGCCCAGACUCCUACGGGAGGCAGCAGUGGGGAAUCUUAGACAAUGGGGGCAACCCUGAUCUAGCCAUGCCGCGUGAGUGAUGAAGGCCUUAGGGUUGUAAAGCUCUUUCA
This 392-nucleotide ribosomal RNA is filed under the name Paracoccus yeei. RNAcentral describes it as "bacterial SSU rRNA". It matches the Rfam family "Bacterial small subunit ribosomal RNA", at positions 18 to 438 of the family's 1533-position model. Lineage: Bacteria; Pseudomonadati; Pseudomonadota; Alphaproteobacteria; Rhodobacterales; Paracoccaceae. The record is from RNAcentral.